UUAGUAACUGCGAGUGAAGAGGGAAAAGCUCAAAUUUAAAAUCUGGCAGUGUUUCACUGUCCGAGUUGUAACCUAGAGAAGUGUAACCUGCACUGGACCGUGUACAAGUCUCCUGGAAUGGAGCAUCACAGAGGGUGAGAAUCCCGUCUUUGACAUGGACUGCCAGUGCAUUGUGGUUGUGCUCUCAACGAGUCGAGUUGUUUGGGAAUGCAGCUCUAAAUGGGUGGUAAAUUCCAUCUAAAGCUAAAUAUUGGCGAGAGACCGAUAGCGAACAAGUACCGUGAGGGAAAGAUGAAAAGAACUUUGGAAAGAGAGUUAAACAGUAUGUGAAAUUGUUGAAAGGGAAACAUUUGAAGUCAGUCGCGUUGGCUGGGGAUCAACCUGACUUUUUGUUAGGUGUACUUCCUGGUUGACGGGUCAACAUCAGUUUUGACUGCCAGAGAAAGGCUAAGGGAAUGUGGCACCUUUGGGUGUGUUAUAGAUCUUGGUCGUAUGUGGUGGUUGGGACUGAGGAAAGCAGUGUGCCGAAAGGCCGGGUUUCGACCACGUUCACACUGAGGAUGUUGGCAUAAUGGCUUUAAGUGACCCGUCUUGAAACACGGACCAAGGAGUCUAACAUGCAUGCGAGUGUUUGGGUGGAAAACCCUUACGCGUAAUGAAAGUGAAAGUUGAGAUCCCUGUCGUGGGGAGCAUCGACGCCCGGACCAGAACUUUUGGGACGGAUCUGCGGUAGAGCAAGUAUGUUGGGACCCGAAAGAUGGUGAACUAUGCCUGAAUAGGGUGAAGCCAGAGGAAACUCUGGUGGAGGCUCGUAGCGAUUCUGACGUGCAAAUCGAUCGUCGAAUUUGGGUAUAGGGCGAAAGACUAAU
RNAcentral lists this ribosomal RNA (869 nucleotides) under Amanita sepiacea. Its description in RNAcentral is "eukaryotic LSU rRNA". It matches the Rfam family "Eukaryotic large subunit ribosomal RNA", at positions 80 to 935 of the family's 3401-position model. Lineage: Eukaryota; Fungi; Basidiomycota; Agaricomycetes; Agaricales; Amanitaceae. The record is from RNAcentral.